UGGGGAAUAUUGCACAAUGGGGGAAACCCUGAUGCAGCGACGCCGCGUGAACGAAGAAGGUAUUCGUAUCGUAAAGUUCUGUCCUAUGGGAAGAUAAUGACAGUACCAUAGAAGAAAGCUCCGGCUAAAUACGUGCCAGCAGCCGCGGUAAUACGUAUGGAGCGAGCGUUGUCCGGAAUUAUUGGGCGUAAAGGGUACGCAGGCGGUUUAAUAAGUCGAAUGUUAAAGAUCGGGGCUCAACCCCGCAAAGCAUUGGAAACUGAUAAACUUGAGUAGUGGAGAGGAAAGUGGAAUUCCUAGUGUAGUGGUGAGAUACGUAGAUAUUAGGAGGAAUACCAGUAGCGAAGGCGACUUUCUGGACACAAACUGACGCUGAGGUACGAAAGCGUGGGGAGCAAACAGG
Molecule: ribosomal RNA, 403 nt
Filed under: bacterium
Lineage: Bacteria
Description: partial 16S ribosomal RNA
Rfam family: Bacterial small subunit ribosomal RNA
Source: RNAcentral